AGGCUCGUAGCUCAACUGGUAGAGCAGCGGCCUCUUAAGCCGCGAGUUGAGGGUUCGAGUCCCUCCGGGCCUA
Molecule: transfer RNA, 73 nt
Filed under: Bacteroidetes bacterium QS_8_64_10
Lineage: Bacteria; Pseudomonadati; Bacteroidota
Description: tRNA-Lys
Rfam family: tRNA
About the family: Transfer RNA (tRNA) molecules are approximately 80 nucleotides in length. Their secondary structure includes four short double-helical elements and three loops (D, anti-codon, and T loops).
Source: RNAcentral